AAACCAACCGGGAUUGCCUCAGUAACGGCGAGUGAAGCGGCAACAGCUCAAAUUUGAAAGCCCGCGGGCGUUGUAAUUUGCAGGCGGAUGUUUUGGGGCGGGCGCUGUCUACGUUCCUUGGAACAGGACGCCGCAGAGGGUGAGAGCCCCGUGCGAUGGCGCCUUUAACCGCGUAAAACUCCGCCGACGAGUCGAGUUGUUUGGGAAUGCAGCUCCAAGUGGGUGGUAAAUUCCAUCUAAAGCUAAAUACUGGCGAGAGACCGAUAGCGAACAAGUACAGUGAUGGAAAGAUGAAAAGCACUUUGAAAAGAGAGUGAAACAGCACGUGAAAUUGUUGAAAGGGAAGGGUAUGCGAUUAGCGGCCAGCAGGAGGUGCGUUCUCGCGAAAAGGCCGUGCACCGUCUUCGGACACCGUGCGCGGAGAUGGCGAGGGGGCGCCUGAGGUCUGCGACUCGAGGUUGCUGGCGUAAUGAUUGCAUACCACCCGUCUUGA
RNAcentral lists this ribosomal RNA (493 nucleotides) under [Candida] sp. 10-2. RNAcentral describes it as "eukaryotic LSU rRNA". It matches the Rfam family "Eukaryotic large subunit ribosomal RNA", at positions 62 to 657 of the family's 3401-position model. The record is from RNAcentral. Lineage: Eukaryota; Fungi; Ascomycota; Saccharomycetes; Saccharomycetales.